Molecule: non-coding RNA, 3191 nt
Organism: Oryctolagus cuniculus (rabbit)
Lineage: Eukaryota; Metazoa; Chordata; Mammalia; Lagomorpha; Leporidae
Source: RefSeq, a predicted model, not a curated record
UCCCCCUGUCCCCAGCUCUCAGAGCCGGCUGCUAUGAAGCCCAGGAAUUGCUGGUGUGGUCCUCACAGGCCCAGCGCCGUUGCUCGCCUGGGCUUUGUUCCACGAAUGGGGAAGGAGGCGGCCGCACAGGAGUAAAGCCCGCUGAGCCGCUCAGAUCACCAUCAGCCCAGCCAGGACACACGGGUGUGCCAAGGGAGGGGACUGUCAGAGGGAAGGCUCCCGAGGACAGAGUGGAAAGGUGAAGAUCCUGGUGCGACCUGUUGUAGGAAGAAGGUGGACUUCCUGACCGUGUGACACUUCCUGUCUGCCCUCGUACCUUGGCCGGAUUCCAGUGCAGGUAAUUACAUUCUGUCUUCCUAAAUUCCCUUGUAACUCCAAGUGGGCAAGCUGCUCUCCCCCACCCCCAGCUGCCGGGAGCUGAUGUGCUGGUGCCUGGCUUCAAAUGGGGUGGCACCUGAGUGGGCCGAGGUGUCCCCCGCGUAAGCACUGGGAGCCACGGCACACGCGGGCUGCCAUGCCAACGGGAGCAGUGCUGCUCUUCGCGCCUCUCCACGUGCGGCUGCCAGCCCGGAGCUGUCUCCGACGACACCUUAAACGUGACGGCCAGGGUCAUCAGGAUGAGGAGCGCCGGGGCUCCCCUCCACCUUUAGAAUUUCUGGUGGCUGCCAGCAGGGCUGGGGAGCAGAAGGCGGGACCACGAGCCAGCGCCCGGAAGCGGCCUCCGGCGGUCAUGCUGCAUUUUCCACAAAACGCUGUGCUUUUUUGUCUGUUUGCUGUGCUUUCCUGUUACCUCCUGAUGGAAGCUAAGGGGACUUGUUGGGCUUCCGCAAGUUGUUGCUGUCACUUUCGUUUCUGAAGGAACGGAAGGCGUCGUGUUUUCUGCUGGUAGGGAUGAACAGUCCCUUCUAAAAAUGUCUGAGAUUCAGCUCACUUGAAGUUAAUUCUCUAAUACUUAAUGGAGCGUCUGGCGUGUGCCCGACCUUGAGAAAGGGCGAUUUGGGUCUCAGAGCACUUCCUGAUUUUAUCUUUUUGAUGAAUAUUUAUUUGACUUGUGGGUAUCCGUGUGUUUUCCAAAAAAGCUACGGAGGUAAUUCCUGUAAAAUAGUAUCUCUGUUGAUAACCAGAGCGUGGAAUACCGUGCAAUACGGCAGGGAACUGAUUUCAGUGAAAAAUGCAUGUCACAAGCUGGAAACCAGUAUUCACUGCAGACUCGGACUCCGGGCACUUCCGGUACGGAGGUGCGGAAGAGUCUGCGUGAGAAAGCAGUUUGGCUUCAAAGACGCACGCCGAGGUGACGAGGUGACGAGGUGACGCGAUCCUUAUCGGACGUCCAGGGAAGAGCAGCUGCUGGUUUCAGGAGUCCUGCUCUGCACGGAUGCUGGGGGGCUCGGGGCUGGGCUCUGGGCAGGGGUCAACUCUGCUGGUUUCAGGAGUCCUGCUCUGCACGGAUGCUGGGGGGCUCGGGGCUGCGGCUCUGGGCAAGGCUGUGACGGCACUGCUGGGCUGGUUCCUUCCACAGACCUGGACGUGGGCGGACCUUGCCAGUACCCGCUGGGAGUAUUUGUAUUCUCUGUUCCUCCCACCACUAGGUGCCAUAAACCGACGGCACGAUCCCACUGUGCACGGUGACCAAAGCCACACUGGAGGAAAACUUAGGCCUCACCAGCCGGUGUUUGGAUAAAAAAUUCUUCUCGCCAUUCCUGCCCCCGUGGGAUCAUUGCUGAUGAAGCACAGAACUCGGCCCGGGGCUCUCACCGGGGCUUGUAACUCCGCUUGUGACCCUAGUGACCUGCAUUUUUUCCUAAUCACAGGCAAAAUAGCGAAUUGGCAAACCUCAGGAAGUGGGUACACCGCCCUGACCUACCAGGAAGAGCCUAGGGUGACUGAACAGCUCAGGAAUUCAGAGCAAUGAAUUUAUGGUUAGGAAAACUCGUGUUCUCACUCUGAUGAAGGUCCUUAACUUCCACCACGCUUCUCCGGUUAAGCCAAGCGGCUCACGCGGAAAUCGCUGUCCACAGCUGCUGCCAAUUGAUUUAUCCCCUGAUAACAGAGCCACAGACCGCAUUGUUGGAAAGAAACAGUCCUUUAAUUUCGGAGUUUGGGGCUGUCUGUUCAUGCACGCUCGGUUGUGUAUAUGAGCAGAGAUUUGCAGUGGUCCGACUUUUCCGGGAGACCUGGGGGGUUUUCCUGCAGCUUCGAGGGCCUGCCCUGCCCGUGACCGCUUCCCACGGCCGCCCCGCGGGGGAGUGAUCUCUGCACGCAUCCCCCCAGGAUCUGCAGCUCCUUCUUUGGCGUUUGUGAAAUUCUUCAAACUGAGGGAUCUGUGUGAGAAGCCAAGGAAUCAACAUCUAGGGCAAUGUCAAUGUGAAUUGGGAACAAUUUAUUUCGAGAAUCCGCUGAAACGUGCUGUCGCCCUCGCCCUGAGAUGGCUUGGUUUCUCCGGGCCUUCCCGUCUCUCUCUCCACAGGGAGCAUCCAGAAGUGCCUUCUUUCAUUCAGAGUGUUUCCCAAGCACCUAUCAUUGUGUAGGGGAGGGUGCGUAAGAGAGCGUCUCUGAACCUCCUCAGGACUUACGAGAUGAUAAAUAAAACAAGCAGGGCUGGCACUGAGACGCCAUCUGUGACACGGCGUCCCAUGUGGGCACCGGUUCGAUUCCUGGCUGCUCCACUUCCAAUUCAACUCCCUGCUAAUGCACCUGGGAAGAUGGCCUGAGUGCUCGGGCCCCUGCCAUCCACGUGGGAGACCUGGAUGGGCUCCUGCCUUUGGCCUGGCCCAGCCAUGGUCAUUGGGAGAGUGAAUCAACAGAUGGAAGAUCUCCCACUCUCUGUAAGUCUGCUUUCAAAUAAGUAAAUAAAGCUUAAAAAAGAAAAAGAAAGGCACUGAAUGGUUGCAUAAAUACUUAGCAGCUGAGAGAGACGCACAGGAGAAGAAGCAGGAGGGCUCCCAGCUAGGAUGUCCUCUACUCUCCUCCCGCACGUGCAUCCAGCAUCGUUGUUACACAGGCCUCUGUGUUGCGUCUGAUGUUUUUGGUGGGCAUUUGGAGAUUGGGAUAGGGAUGUCUAAAAUAUUUCAUCUUUUAUUUAAUGGUUUCUCCUAGACAACAUGCUCACAGUCAAUAUAAAAACCUAAAGCAAAUCUGUUAAUGUGCUUUGAAAUAACCGAAUUUUAUGAAAAUAUUGUGGUUUCUUCUAA